ACCUGGGUGGCUCAGUUGGUUGAGCGUCUGACUUCUGCUCAGGCUACGAUCCCGCGGCUUGUGAGUUCGAGUCCCACGUCGGGCU
Molecule: transfer RNA, 85 nt
Filed under: Felis catus (domestic cat)
Lineage: Eukaryota; Metazoa; Chordata; Mammalia; Carnivora; Felidae
Rfam family: tRNA
About the family: Transfer RNA (tRNA) molecules are approximately 80 nucleotides in length. Their secondary structure includes four short double-helical elements and three loops (D, anti-codon, and T loops).
Source: Rfam by way of RNAcentral